AACGAACGCUGGCGGCGUGCCUAAUACAUGCAAGUUGAGCGCUGAAGGUUGGUACUUGUACCAACUGGAUGAGCAGCGAACGGGUGAGUAACGCGUGGGGAAUCUGCCUUUGAGCGGGGGACAACAUUUGGAAACGAAUGCUAAUACCGCAUAAAAACUUUAAACACAAGUUUUAAGUUUGAAAGAUGCAAUUGCAUCACUCAAAGACGAUCCCGCGUUGUAUUAGCUAGUUGGUGAGGUAAAGGCUCACCAAGGCGAUGAUACAUAGCCGACCUGAGAGGGUGAUCGGCCACAUUGGGACUGAGACACGGCCCAAACUCCUACGGGAGGCAGCAGUAGGGAAUCUUCGGCAAUGGACGAAAGUCUGACCGAGCAACGCCGCGUGAGUGAAGAAGGUUUUCGGAUCGUAAAACUCUGUUGGUAGAGAAGAACGUUGGUGAGAGUGGAAAGCUCGUCAAGUGACGGUAACUACCCAGAAAGGGACGGCUAACUACGUG
This 497-nucleotide ribosomal RNA is filed under the name uncultured bacterium. RNAcentral describes it as "partial 16S ribosomal RNA". It matches the Rfam family "Bacterial small subunit ribosomal RNA", at positions 29 to 507 of the family's 1533-position model. The record is from RNAcentral.